UACGAAGGGGGCUAGCGUUGCUCGGAAUCACUGGGCGUAAAGCGCACGUAGGCGGCUUUUUAAGUCAGGGGUGAAAUCCUGGAGCUCAACUCCAGAACUGCCUUUGAUACUGAGAGCUUGAGUCCGGGAGAGGUGAGUGGAACUGCGAGUGUAGAGGUGAAAUUCGUAGAUAUUCGCAAGAACACCAGUGGCGAAGGCGGCUCACUGGCCCGGUACUGACGCUGAGACGCGAAAGCGUGGGGAGCAAACAGG
This 252-nucleotide ribosomal RNA is filed under the name uncultured bacterium. Its description in RNAcentral is "partial 16S ribosomal RNA". It matches the Rfam family "Bacterial small subunit ribosomal RNA", at positions 524 to 776 of the family's 1533-position model. The record is from RNAcentral.